RNAcentral lists this ribosomal RNA (1088 nucleotides) under Aliarcobacter cryaerophilus. RNAcentral's name for it is "bacterial SSU rRNA". It matches the Rfam family "Bacterial small subunit ribosomal RNA", at positions 209 to 1312 of the family's 1533-position model. Lineage: Bacteria; Pseudomonadati; Campylobacterota; Epsilonproteobacteria; Campylobacterales; Arcobacteraceae. The record is from RNAcentral.
GAUUUAUUGGUAAGAGAUUAGCCUGUAUUGUAUCAGUUAGUUGGUGGGGUAAUAGGCUUACCAAGACUAUGACACAUAACUGGUUUGAGAGGAUGAUCAGUCACACUGGAACUGAGACACGGUCCAGACUCCUACGGGAGGCAGCAGUGGGGAAUAUUGCACAAUGGACGAAAGUCUGAUGCAGCAACGCCGCGUGGAGGAUGACACAUUUCGGUGCGUAAACUCCUUUUAUAUGAGAAGAUAAUGACGGUAUUAUAUGAAUAAGCACCGGCUAACUCCGUGCCAGCAGCCGCGGUAAUACGGGGGGUGCAAGCGUUACUCGGAAUCACUGGGCGUAAAGAGCAUGUAGGCGGAUUAAUAAGUUUGAAGUGAAAUCCUAUAGCUUAACUAUAGAACUGCUUUGAAAACUGUUAAUCUAGAAUGUGGGAGAGGUAGAUGGAAUUUCUGGUGUAGGGGUAAAAUCCGUAGAGAUCAGAAGGAAUACCGAUUGCGAAGGCGAUCUACUGGAACAUUAUUGACGCUGAGAUGCGAAAGCGUGGGGAGCAAACAGGAUUAGAUACCCUGGUAGUCCACGCCCUAAACGAUGUACACUAGUUGUUGUGAGACUUGAUCUUGCAGUAAUGCAGUUAACACAUUAAGUGUACCGCCUGGGGAGUACGGUCGCAAGAUUAAAACUCAAAGGAAUAGACGGGGACCCGCACAAGAGGUGGAGCAUGUGGUUUAAUUCGACGAUACACGAAGAACCUUACCUGGACUUGACAUAGUAAGAACUUUCUAGAGAUAGAUUGGUGUCUGCUUGCAGAAACUUAUAUACAGGUGCUGCACGGCUGUCGUCAGCUCGUGUCGUGAGAUGUUGGGUUAAGUCCCGCAACGAGCGCAACCCUCGUGUUUAGUUGCUAACAGUUCGGCUGAGAACUCUAAACAGACUGCCUACGCAAGUAGGAGGAAGGUGAGGACGACGUCAAGUCAUCAUGGCCCUUACGUCCAGGGCUACACACGUGCUACAAUGGGAUAUACAAAGAGCGGCAAUACGGUGACGUGGAGCAAAUCUUAUAAAAUUCUCCCAGUUCGGAUUGUAGUCUGCAACU